RNAcentral lists this ribosomal RNA (468 nucleotides) under uncultured bacterium. Its description in RNAcentral is "partial 16S ribosomal RNA". It matches the Rfam family "Bacterial small subunit ribosomal RNA", at positions 28 to 507 of the family's 1533-position model. The record is from RNAcentral.
GACGAACGCUGGCGGCGUGCUUAACACAUGCAAGUCGAACGGAAAGGCCCUGCUUUUGUGGGGUGCUCGAGUGGCGAACGGGUGAGUAACACGUGAGUAACCUGCCCUUGACUUUGGGAUAACUUCAGGAAACUGGGGCUAAUACCGGAUAGGAGCUCCUGCUGCAUGGUGGGGGUUGGAAAGUUUCGGCGGUUGGGGAUGGACUCGCGGCUUAUCAGCUUGUUGGUGGGGUAGUGGCUUACCAAGGCUUUGACGGGUAGCCGGCCUGAGAGGGUGACCGGCCACAUUGGGACUGAGAUACGGCCCAGACUCCUACGGGAGGCAGCAGUGGGGAAUAUUGCACAAUGGGCGGAAGCCUGAUGCAGCAACGCCGCGUGCGGGAUGACGGCCUUCGGGUUGUAAACCGCUUUCGCCUGUGACGAAGCGUGAGUGACGGUAAUGGGUAAAGAAGCACCGGGUAACUACGUG